This is a long non-coding RNA of Actinia tenebrosa (Australian red waratah sea anemone), 378 nucleotides long. Lineage: Eukaryota; Metazoa; Cnidaria; Anthozoa; Actiniaria; Actiniidae. The record is from RefSeq and is a predicted model, not a curated record.
UCUUUUUGUCUAAAAUCAGAUUACUGUACUACAAUCCGGAAUAAAUCUUCUUCAACGACAAAUGAACGAGUUAACUACUGAAUAAACUGAAAUGCAGUGUUUGUAAACAUUGACCAAGAAACAAGUGCUAAAACUGAUUAUACACAUGAAGUUGAUACUUGAAGGUGAACACCUUGCAUAGAAAUGGACCUACCUGAUGCCAAAGUUAAUGUUGCUACGACGAGUGCAGCAAGAAAAGCGACUGUUUGCAGACCCAUCGGAGUAGCUUUUCUGUGAAGACAGUUAUCAGUCCUUUCGGAUCAGGUACGUCUGCAGUAAAUAGGCCAGGGGCAGAAAAAACAAAAAAACAAAAAAACAAAACAAAAAAAAACAAAAAAA